UUCUCAAGGCUCUUCAAAGGACUAAAAGCUAAAAGGAUGGAUUCAUUCGACAAGUCCUAGUCCUGCGCCCUGGUGAGUGCCAGACCCUGCUCCCCACGAGGGGGACCCACGAGCCACCCUCACCACGAUCCCUGCUCUGGUGGAGCCCCCGUGCGGAACACAGGAUCCGAAGAUGGCAGCGGAAGCUCCGCAGCGGCCCCAAAAGCGACUGGGCAGGGAGGGCACAGGCUCCCUCACUGGGUGAAGUCGGCGCAAAGAACGGGAAGAGCCAUCCCGGGAGCC
This 282-nucleotide long non-coding RNA is filed under the name Homo sapiens (human). RNAcentral describes it as "non-protein coding lnc-FAM72B-16:3". The record is from RNAcentral. Lineage: Eukaryota; Metazoa; Chordata; Mammalia; Primates; Hominidae.